GACUGGGAUAACACCUGGAAACAGAUGCUAAUACCGGAUAACAACACUAGACGCAUGUCUAGAGUUUGAAAGAUGGUUCUGCUAUCACUCUUGGAUGGACCUGCGGUGCAUUAGCUAGUUGGUAAGGUAACGGCUUACCAAGGCAAUGAUGCAUAGCCGAGUUGAGAGACUGAUCGGCCACAUUGGGACUGAGACACGGCCCAAACUCCUACGGGAGGCAGCAGUAGGGAAUCUUCCACAAUGGACGAAAGUCUGAUGGAGCAACGCCGCGUGAGUGAAGAAGGGUUUCGGCUCGUAAAGCUCUGUUGGUAGUGAAGAAAGAUAGAGGUAGUAACUGGCCUUUAUUUGACGGUAAUUACUUAGAAAGUCACGGCUAACUACGUGCCAGCAGCCGCGGUAAUACGUAGGUGGCAAGCGUUGUCCGGAUUUAUUGGGCGUAAAGCGAGUGCAGGCGGUUCAAUAAGUCUGAUGUGAAUGCCUUCGGCUCAACCGGAGAAUUGCAUCAGAAACUGUUGAACUUGAGUGCAGAAGAGGAGAGUGGAACUCCAUGUGUAGCGGUGGAAUGCGUAGAUAUAUGGAAGAACACCAGUGGCGAAGGCGGCUCUCUGGUCUGCAACUGACGCUGAGGCUCGAAAGCAUGGGUAGCGAACAGGAUUAGAUACCCUGGUAGUCCAUGCCGUAAACGAUGAGUACUAAGUGUUGGGAGGUUUCCGCCUCUCAGUGCUGCAG
This 729-nucleotide ribosomal RNA is filed under the name uncultured bacterium. RNAcentral's name for it is "bacterial SSU rRNA". It matches the Rfam family "Bacterial small subunit ribosomal RNA", at positions 136 to 851 of the family's 1533-position model. The record is from RNAcentral.